RNAcentral lists this ribosomal RNA (499 nucleotides) under uncultured bacterium. Its description in RNAcentral is "partial 16S ribosomal RNA". It matches the Rfam family "Bacterial small subunit ribosomal RNA", at positions 28 to 507 of the family's 1533-position model. The record is from RNAcentral.
GACGAACGCUGGCGGCGUGCUUAACACAUGCAAGUCGAACGGGCCCGCUCUCUUUUUUGGGGGUGGGUUGAGUGGCGAACGGGUGAGUAUCACGUGAGUAACCUGCCCCCUGCUCCUGGAUAACUGCUUGAAAGGGCGGCUAAUACGGGGUGUGCCGGCUGGUCCGCAUGGGCCUGGUCGGGAUAGUUUCAUCUUCGGGUGUUUCGGUGGGGGAUGGGCUCGCGGCCUAUCAGCUUGUUGGUGGGGUGAUGGCCCACCAAGGCGGUCACGGGUAGCCGGCCUGAGAGGGUGGGCGGCCACACUGGGACUGAGACACGGCCCAGACUCCUGCGGGAGGCAGCAGUGGGGGGUAUUGCACAAUGGGCGGAAGCCUGAUGCAGCGACGUCGCGUGAGGGAUGGAGGCCUUCGGGUUGUGAACCUCUUUCUCCGGUGGUGAAGGCCCUGUCCGUUGCGGCGGGGUUGACGGUAGCCGGGUAUGAAGCGCCGGCUAACUACGUG